RNAcentral lists this long non-coding RNA (247 nucleotides) under Mytilus galloprovincialis (Mediterranean mussel). Lineage: Eukaryota; Metazoa; Mollusca; Bivalvia; Mytilida; Mytilidae. The record is from RNAcentral.
UUGCUGUACAUUAUUGCUGUUUACAGUUUAUCUCUAUCUAUAAUAAUAUUCAAGAUAAUAACAAAAAAACAGCAAAAUUUCCUCAAAAUUACCAAUUCUGAGGCAGCAACCUAACAACCGAUUAUCCGAUUCAUCUGAAAAUUCCAGGGCAGAUAGAUCGUGACCUGAUCAACAAUUUUACUUCAUGUCUGAUUUGCUCUUAAUGCUUUUGUUUUUGAGUUAUAAGCCAAAAACUCAUUUUACCCCC